Molecule: ribosomal RNA, 501 nt
Filed under: uncultured bacterium
Lineage: Bacteria
Description: partial 16S ribosomal RNA
Rfam family: Bacterial small subunit ribosomal RNA
Source: RNAcentral
AUUGAACGCUGGCGGCAGGCUUAACACAUGCAAGUCGAGCGGGGGAAGGUAGCUUGCUACCGGACCUAGCGGCGGACGGGUGAGUAAUGCUUAGGAAUCUGCCUAUUAGUGGGGGACAACAUCUCGAAAGGGAUGCUAAUACCGCAUACGUCCUACGGGAGAAAGCAGGGGAUCUUCGGACCUUGCGCUAAUAGAUGAGCCUAAGUCGGAUUAGCUAGUUGGUGGGGUAGAGGCCUACCAAGGCGACGAUCUGUAGCGGGUCUGAGAGGAUGAUCCGCCACACUGGGACUGAGACACGGCCCAGACUCCUACGGGAGGCAGCAGUGGGGAAUAUUGGACAAUGGGGGGAACCCUGAUCCAGCCAUGCCGCGUGUGUGAAGAAGGCCUUAUGGUUGUAAAGCACUUUAAGCGAGGAGGAGGCUACUCUAGUUAAUACCUAGGGAUAGUGGACGUUACUCGCAGAAUAAGCACCGGCUAACUCUUUGCCAGCAGCCGCAGUAA